Molecule: ribosomal RNA, 27 nt
Filed under: Mentha arvensis (corn mint)
Lineage: Eukaryota; Viridiplantae; Streptophyta; Magnoliopsida; Lamiales; Lamiaceae
Source: RNAcentral
UCCUGGGUGCGAUCAUACCAGCACUAA